CAGCUCAAAAUUCUGCACCAAACGUCCCAAAGUAAUCCCCAGAAUUGGCAAUGCAAGAAUAAUUCCAGGGCAGCUCCUCCUUCCAACUCCAAACGGCAGGUACCUGAAGUCAUUUCCACUGGCCUCAACCUUGGAUUCCUCUUCCAGGAACCUCUCUGGCCUGUACUCUUCAGGAUUCUUCCACUGAGCAGGAUUGUUGGCGAGCCACCAUGCAUUGACCAGAAUCUUGCUCUCAGCAGGAAUGUCAUAGCCACCAAGCUUUGCGUCAUGGAGAUUCAUGUGAGGGACAAG
RNAcentral lists this long non-coding RNA (291 nucleotides) under Manihot esculenta (cassava). Its description in RNAcentral is "long non-coding RNA (MESC_LNC010826)". The record is from RNAcentral. Lineage: Eukaryota; Viridiplantae; Streptophyta; Magnoliopsida; Malpighiales; Euphorbiaceae.